UAGAAAUAACUUGAUUGUAAAUAUCAAAACAAAUCAAGGGUAGAAUUUUACUUGUACUUCCGUUUUAAUAGAUUUGAUGUUGUAACUAAAUUAUUAACAUCACUUCGAAUAAAUUGAUGUAAAUCUAUACUUACAUCACUUUAGUUACAGAAAUGAUACAAAGUUAACAAAUGAUAUUAACUUAGUUUCAGUUAAAGUUAAUGUGUUGUUCGUGUUGGUUACCCCGUAAGGCCGUAACUAUAUGGAUAUUUCCCUUAUUUUGUUUCAAAAUAUAACGAAUAAUAACUUUUUAAUCACCCAAUAUCCUUUAAUCACGCCUCCAGAGUCAUCUUCUUCCAC
RNAcentral lists this long non-coding RNA (339 nucleotides) under Brassica rapa (field mustard). RNAcentral's name for it is "long non-coding RNA (BRAP_LNC000724)". Lineage: Eukaryota; Viridiplantae; Streptophyta; Magnoliopsida; Brassicales; Brassicaceae. The record is from RNAcentral.